This 61-nucleotide transfer RNA is filed under the name Bacillus thuringiensis serovar yosoo. RNAcentral describes it as "tRNA-Met". It matches the Rfam family "tRNA", at positions 7 to 64 of the family's 71-position model. Rfam says of the family: Transfer RNA (tRNA) molecules are approximately 80 nucleotides in length. Their secondary structure includes four short double-helical elements and three loops (D, anti-codon, and T loops). The record is from RNAcentral. Lineage: Bacteria; Bacillati; Bacillota; Bacilli; Caryophanales; Bacillaceae.
GUGGAGCAGCACGGUAGCUCGUCGGGCUCAUAACCCGAAGGUCGCAGGUUCAAAUCCUGUC